UACGUAGGGUGCAAGCGUUAAUCGGAAUUACUGGGCGUAAAGCGUGCGCAGGCGGUUUUGUAAGUUUGUCGUGAAAUCCCCGGGCUCAACCUGGGAAUGGCGAUGAAGACUGCAAGGCUAGAAUCUGGCAGAGGGGGGUAGAAUUCCACGUGUAGCAGUGAAAUGCGUAGAGAUGUGGAGGAACACCGAUGGCGAAGGCAGCCCCCUGGGAUCGAAG
This 217-nucleotide ribosomal RNA is filed under the name uncultured bacterium. Its description in RNAcentral is "partial 16S ribosomal RNA". It matches the Rfam family "Bacterial small subunit ribosomal RNA", at positions 524 to 740 of the family's 1533-position model. The record is from RNAcentral.